This is a long non-coding RNA of Mya arenaria, 3074 nucleotides long. RefSeq lists it as uncharacterized. The transcript has 3 exons. Lineage: Eukaryota; Metazoa; Mollusca; Bivalvia; Myida; Myidae. The record is from RefSeq and is a predicted model, not a curated record.
AUUCCAAAAUUGAUUUCUCCCGUUGGCCACCAAUUGGAUUUUAGGUCCCCCGCGGGAUUUUGGCAAACUCCAAUUGGAGAAUUUUCCAUAUGAGAAGAAACGGGGGAAAAAAUCAGCAAUUGAAAAAAAAAUCAAAUAUUACAAUUUGGAACAAGAAAUUACAUUUCUAUUUAUGUUUGCAGUACUAGAUUAUUAAACAUAAUUAAAUUCUAAUAAAUUAUCAAAAAAAUUGAUCUUGUAAAAACGGUUCUCCAAUUGGGGAAAAUUCCAAUUGGAGAAUUCCACAGUCAAGUUCUAUUGAUAAAAGCCACCAAUUGGAGAUCACAGAAGUUGGUGAUCACAGAAGUUGGAGGAAUAACCAGUUGGAGAUUUCCACUGUAUAACAUCUGCUGAGGAGAAAUAAAGUUGUAUAUACAUGUCAUGAUAUUAUUGCUCAUUAAUUUAAUAUUGUAGAUUUAAUUCAAGAAAAUAUCAAUGCAAGUGUCUAUUUAGACAAAUCGAGAUUUUCUGACUUUGUAAAAGUGCCGUAAUUCAUAGUUAUUUAUGCUAGAUAGUUGGUAUGAGUGACCCCUUUGAUGAAUCUGAAGAAAAACAUAUAUAUUUUGGAUUAUUUUAGGUAAAAUUUCACUAAUUUUUUUAGAGGUCAAAAUUCAGCACAUUCCCUUCAAGUCUCUGUGCAUUUUUCAUGCUAAAGGGUAAAUGAUGUCGCCAUUUCCUGUAUGUAUUUAAAUAAGAUAUGUUUCCACAAUUAAUAUUUUUAGGGACUAUUUCUCAAUGUAAUGAAAUAGGUUAAAUUUGUACAGCGUUAUAUGAGCUUAAUAUGUGUUUUCUGUUUCCUUAAAAUUGAUGAAAAAUUGUCAGAAGGUAAUGAGACCAGUAUCCAUUACUGCAAUCAUACAAUAAAAAAUACAGGGACAAGCCCACUUCUCAUAUAAUAUGAAUAAACCCUGUUUAGGGGCAUGAGACAAACAGAGUUACUUUCAAAUGUUUAAGAUGCACUCUCACACUUGGGGAUGUUUUGACAACUUUUUUUCAUUUUUAGCUCUAAAGGCCAGAAGAGCUUAUGCGAUGGUAAUGUGUACGUAGUAUGUGCAUCCGUGCGUUUGUAAACAAUCCUCGUUAACAUGAUACAGCCUUCAGUUUUGAUUGUAUCUUGAUUGUAUCUUGAUGAAACCUGUACAGUAUCUACAUAUCCAUAUGAGCUCGGUUCCUUUCGAAAACCAGCCAGAUCCGCCUAUGCAUGCCAAGAUUAUGGGCCUUGAUAAUAAAAAAAAUAGUGUGUCGGUAAACAAUUGCUCGGUAACACGAUACAGUCUUCAGUUAUGAUUGUAUCUUGAUGAAACUUGUCCAGUAUAUCAAUCAGAGCUCAGUUCCUUUCAAAAACCUGAUCUGCCCAUGUUUCCUGGAUUAUUGGCCUUGAAAUUAUUAGAUGAUGGGCCUUGAUAGUAUAAAAAAUGCUUUUUUGUAAUAAAUGCUUGCGAAUAUGAUACAGUCUUCAGUUUUGAGUAUUCAGAUACCCAUAAGUGGUUGGUUCUUUUCGAAAACAGUGAUGUUGACCACACAAACCCAGCCAGUAGAGCAUAGGCCCUUUUGGGCCUCUUGUUUGUUUUGGAUUGGUACCAUCCAAUCGUUGCGAAAAAUGCAUGGAAACCAAUAGUAUAAGACUACUGACAAAAAAAUUAAUCGCAGACUUUUCUAUUUAAGUUAAAACAUUGAUGUUUUAUGCACUUCUUAAACCAUUAGUAACAUUAAUCAUGAAAUCUGGGAUUUGAUGUUUUGUCAGCAAUCUUUUACCUUUGGUUUGCUGAUAUUUACGCAAAAAUUUGCUCAUUCCAAGACAAAACAAAAGUUGUUAAAACUGUAUAUCUGUGAGAAUGUAGCUCUAAAUGUUUUGGCAAACAUGUUUAGACUGUCGGCUGCAAUCGACAGUCUUUAGAGAGCGGUAUUUCAGAAACGCGACUAGUCGCCUGACACGACAUAUUGAACAUGAAUAUAUUAAUACACACCACCUGCGUAGCAACAGAACUACUUACGUGAAUGUGGGGCGUCAAGUACCUGCUUAUGUGUAUUUAACGCGUUAUUGUCUUUUUUAUGACAAACAUUGCGUGCUACUCUUAGUAUAGUUGUACCGUUGCAAUUUGGUGAGUUUUAUUGAACAAAAUAAUGAAAAAUAAUGAAAGUAUAGCAUUUACAUACAAAGUCAUUUUACCCUACAUCCAAUAGUAAAAUACACCACAUGUUUGCACCCCGUGUGACGUCACACAUAUCCCGGCAUAAAAGACUGACCCGGCAAACCCCGGCAAAGAACUUAUUUUAUGAAUGAAAGUUAUUAAGAAAUAAAUCAUACGCGGUUAAAGAGUUCAUGUCAUGUAAUAUUUUGUGAAAUAGCUUUUAUGUUUCAAAUGAUUUUUUCAGCAGCAAUCGAACUACUGUAUUUGUUUGAGUAAAUUAUAUGGAUUAUACCUAUCACAGUGUGUCAACGUUAUGCCUAUUGUUAUUUUGGACUAUAGCCAAGUAUAGGAUGUAGUUUUUAAAGUCAUACACAAUAUGGCGGCGAUUAUGCGAAAAUGAAAUUGAAUGUUACUUCGAACACGUUCUUCUACAAAAUAACCGACCUGUAUUUAGUGCUAUUGCUUUAACAUCAAUCGAAGCAAAAAUGGCAUCAAUGUAUGCGUCUAAAAAUGUUAAAUUUAGAUGGAGACAAUCCAGAAAUGAGCUGCCAGGAAGUGAUCGAUUUCGGACACGAAGAUUGAGAAGUGCCUGGAUACAAGGCUAGUAUUGUUAACAUCAUCUGAUACAAUCAACUGGAACAAAGCUGAAAUGGCUGCCUGACCUGACUUAAAAAUUGGAUGGCAGUACAUCAGACUAGAAUAUUACAAGUAUUGAGGUGGACAAAAUGAAAGCUGACAGAUUGCACAAGAAACACAUAAAUGCAGAUUGGAAGAUUCAUUCUCUGGAAAGUAGAAAAGGGCAUGUUACAUACUGUUAUCACUGCCAUGACAGAAACCAUAUUGAGGAGCUGGUCCACCUGUAGGAAGAAUUGCGCUAUUGGUUGGAGCAGCACUAUUACCCAG